RNAcentral lists this long non-coding RNA (2493 nucleotides) under Lupinus angustifolius (narrow-leaved blue lupine). Its description in RNAcentral is "long non-coding RNA (LANG_LNC000490)". The record is from RNAcentral. Lineage: Eukaryota; Viridiplantae; Streptophyta; Magnoliopsida; Fabales; Fabaceae.
AUGGUGAACAAAGAAUAAAACUGAGUUCUCUUACUUAAUUAAACAAAAUGAACAUAACAAAAAUGAGAGUAUUAAUCUUUCAACAAUUUGGCACUAUUGUCAAGACGAUUUGUUGAGAGGAGAAAACUCCCAAUAAAACACCGAGAAACACGCUUUCAACAACCAUCACAAGAAGAGCAUAUUCAUUCUGAUUUACCUAAAGAAUGUAUGAUGUAAAAUAAUGAAAGAGGCGAAGAGAUAUGGUGAACCAAAUGGAACGGUCAAUGAGUCUAACACCAAAUAGAAUCAUGCACUGCAAAAACAAACAUAAUAUAUUAGCACAAGAAACAAAGCAAUAACAACAUCCUUAUUAAUAGAAGGGGCAGGGGAUCAAUAACCAAAACCCUUUAUUGUUGAUUUUGGCUUUGGCCAACACCCACAAGCCAUUACCAGGUCUGCACUUGAACCUAAAAAUCCAGCAUUAACCCAAAUGAGAAAACAGCCAAGAUAACAACAGCUAGAGAGAGAGGAUUGGCAGCAAACGAAGACAAUGACAAUAACGUGAUUUGUAGAAUCCUCACCAGGAAGAUAUGCAUAGAAUUGUUCUUGAAUGGACACAUUAAACUAGAGGAAUCAGUCACAAAAGUUCUUACUAAUGUACAUACAAUGGAUACAAUUAAUACUUCUAGCAUACAAACACCUCUUUGAAGAUAGUUAUAACCAUGAUUCCCUGUAUAAGGCAGAUGGUAGUUCAAAAGAAAAGCAGCAAACCAGAACACAUAUUCUCUUUUGGUUACACUUACACUCAAGUAAAUGAUAAUUAUUCCAAAUCAAUCAGACCAACCAGCCGUGAGUUACAUAAUAAAAGACAGUUGUCAUUCUACUCCAAUUAUGGUCAUCAUUGGCAAAUGAAAAUCCUCUCAAACAGUUACACAGGCUCAUAAUCAGCAUGAAUGGAGUAAUUAUUUGAGUAAUUUCGGAGGGGGCAAUCAGUGAGACUAAGUAUACCAGCCAAGAAUUUCAAAAGGGCAGUAAGGCAUCCAGGAGUUAUUCAGUUAUGCUUUCCUCAUGAAUGGCAAUAUCAGUGAGUAAAAAGGGAUAAACCAGAGCAAUUAAACAGAGGCAAAUAUUAUGCUUUCAGUUACACAAUCAGCCUAAAUGGCAACUUUAAUGCAUUGAUUCAGAAAACCAAUAAGUCAUGGCAUGUUACACAUUGUUGGUAAGUCAAAAAGUUUUCACAAACCAGCCAAUAACCUACAACCAUCUAUAAAAGGCAUGUCUCAAUUGGUGCACAAGGGAGCAGGAGAAAAAGUAAGCAGAGAAAAAGCAUACUGAUAUCACCCAUAUACACUUAACAAAGCAGAGAGCAUAAUCCAUACACAUAUAUCCAACAAGCAAUCAUAGAUAUUGCCUGCAUACCUACAAAUAUAGCAAAGGGAUACACACAGAUACAGAACAUCAAAGUAUACAUAGUUCUCAGCAGGGUAAAAAGGGGCUCCGUGUCAGACAAUUACAAAGUAAAGGUCCAAAGGAUAAAGGAAUAGACCUUCAUACAAUCAUCCUACUACAUCCCAGUGUCAGCAAUCUUAAAUAGGUACUAUAUUACCCUUCUCAAAUGUUAUUCUGAAAUGCUAAAUGAUUUAUAAUCGUAGGAAGUGAGUCAUUAUCAUAACACAUAAUGCUUUUAAAAAAUUGUUUAAUCUUAACCCUGUAAUUCAUGGUUUGUAAAUCCUUAUGUACGUUGUUUUGUUUUCCAAUGCUAUUCAUGGCAUAAACAUUAGGAACAUGUGUUACUCAUUAACAUGGGUAAGCCUGGUAUUACGAAAUAAAAAAAACAGGGACCUUUUGCAAUAUUUUCUCUUCAGCAAGAAAACACAUCAUCCAUUAACUGCACACUAAGUCCUUUUUUAUUUAAGCAAUCUGUAAUAUGAAAGGUAAAACACGACAACAUAAAAUAAGUAGAUCAAACACAACAACACGCUGUUAAGAACUUUGAGUUCAAUUCACAAAUCAGUAUAAACAGUAAAUAGAAAAAAAAAAAAACAUCUUGCAUUCAAGGGAUAUGGUACUUUACCUGUCCUUGGUGUUGCCGUGGUCGCGGUGGUAUACCACCGAGGAUGAUAAAGGAUGGUGGCCCCGAGGCUUCGCCAUCAUCGUGUCUCCCUAACCAUCCCAGUUCCAACCGUGGAUGAACCCUCUUCGUCGCCUUCCUAAGUCGCCGUUGCUGGAGAAGAACCCGCCACCGAGAGAAGAAAAACGCGUGAAGAGGAGAUGGUGCAGCGUCUCACCACCAUCGGCCCCGUCUCACCACCACCGCGGACCACUGCGAGCCGCCCCAAUGCUUCGAGCCGCCAUGAAUGGGGACCCCCGAGCCACCGUCACCACCACCGGAGAUGGAGCUAGAAAGGAAAUGGAGUUGGGGAUUAGGGAUUUCAAUUUUUUCCCUUAUCCUGCGUGAACAUGGGGUUAAGGGGAUAACACCCCUCAAUUACCCCUUUUGGUUUUACACGAGGC